Daphnia carinata is the source of this 519-nucleotide long non-coding RNA. RefSeq lists it as uncharacterized. The record is from RefSeq and is a predicted model, not a curated record. NCBI's taxonomy places the organism in Eukaryota, Metazoa, Arthropoda, Branchiopoda, Diplostraca, Daphniidae. The transcript has 5 exons.
UUUUGUCCUAGAGUGUGUUUUGCAAGUGAAGCCCACAAAAUGCUGGUUUUUAUGUUACAUGUCUUGUAAUCACCUAUGUCAGCUGUCAAACCAAGGAACUAUUCGCAACCCAUUAUGUUGCAUUCAUCAAACUAUUCUGGUGCUCAUUGAGAGGUUUAGCUCAUGAAACUUCAUUUGUAAAGGAUACUUCCCGUUGAGGAAUGUCACCAAAGAUGCAAAUCCUAUGGCGCCAACUGUAACCACAGCCAUUUCGACAAUUGUAAUCUCUACUUAGCCUACCAACAGACAUAGACAUGUACCUCAAUACAAUUUCUAUUGGACUGCCAUCUCUUUGCUGUCUGCUGCCUAUCUGCUGGCCCUACAGUAUUUCUAGCCAUUGGACAACAGAAAACAAAGCCUUUUUCCUCUUCUCCGCGCCCGUCUUCACCUCGCCUUUCAACCCGUCUUCGCUUCGCCUGUCGUCCCGUCUUCGCCUCGCCCGUCGUCCCGUCUUCGCCUCGCCCGUCGUCCCGCCUUCGC